CCAACUUUAGUCGCUUUUAGCAAAAACAAACCCACAGCCAAAAAGCCUUGCAUGUCUAGGAGUCGGUGGAGUAGUUACCACCUGACGGGUAAGCCUUGUUGAGUAUUAGUAUACUCAGCCUUGCUUGUGGCUAUCUUUUUCAGGUUUGCUGUUGUUUUGGGUGCUAGUCUUACUUGACCUACCCAGCUCCCUCCGGGUUGGACG
Molecule: long non-coding RNA, 204 nt
Filed under: Setaria italica (foxtail millet)
Lineage: Eukaryota; Viridiplantae; Streptophyta; Magnoliopsida; Poales; Poaceae
Description: long non-coding RNA (SITA_LNC002945)
Source: RNAcentral